This 258-nucleotide ribosomal RNA is filed under the name uncultured Paracercomonas. RNAcentral describes it as "partial 18S ribosomal RNA". The stretch from base 100 to 258 matches the Rfam family "Eukaryotic small subunit ribosomal RNA", at positions 741 to 955 of the family's 1831-position model. The record is from RNAcentral. Lineage: Eukaryota; Cercozoa; Cercomonadida; Cercomonadidae.
GAUUUCUGGUUUAAUGCACCUGGCCCGCGGCCAAUAGGCUUGUGAGUGCCGGCGCGCGUUUACCAUCCAGAUUCUGCCAUUCACUUGGUUGGGACCGCGAUCUAGAUCUUUUACUUUGAAAAAAUUAGAGUGUUUAAAGCAGGCUUUUGCUAUGAAUACAUUAGCAUGGAAUAAUAAUCUAGGACUUCGGUUCUAUUUUGUUGGUUUCCAGAGGUGAAAUUCUUGGAUUCGGUCAAGACUAACUUAUGCGAAAGCAUU